AGUCUCCUGAAGGAACGUUGAAGACGACGACGUUGAUAGGCCGGGUGUGUAAGUGCAGCGAUGCGUUGAGCUAACCGGUACUAAUGAACCGUGAGGCUUAACCUUACAACGCCGAAG
This 117-nucleotide ribosomal RNA is filed under the name Salmonella enterica subsp. enterica serovar Senftenberg. RNAcentral's name for it is "partial 23S ribosomal RNA". The stretch from base 1 to 105 matches the Rfam family "Bacterial large subunit ribosomal RNA", at positions 2821 to 2925 of the family's 2925-position model. The record is from RNAcentral. RNAcentral also lists the same sequence under 1 other name. Lineage: Bacteria; Pseudomonadati; Pseudomonadota; Gammaproteobacteria; Enterobacterales; Enterobacteriaceae.